UUUGGCACCUCUAAAAAUGGUGCAAAAUAAGGGGUGGGCAAGUCUGGUGUCAGCCGCCGCGGUAAUACCAGCACCCCGAGUGGUCGGGACGAUUAUUGGGCCUAAAGCAUCCGUAGCCGGUUCUGCAAGUCCUCCGUUAAAUCCACCUGCUCAACGGAUGGGCUGCGGAGGAUACCGCAGAGCUAGGAGGCGGGAGAGGCAAACGGUACUCAGUGGGUAGGGGUAAAAUCCUUUGAUCUACUGAAGACCACCAGUGGCGAAGGCGGUUUGCCAGAACGCGCUCGACGGUGAGGGAUGAAAGCUGGGGGAGCAAACCGGAUUAGAUACCCGGGUAGUCCCAGCUGUAAACGAUGCAGACUCGGUGAUGGGUUGGCUUCGAGCCAACCCAGUGCCGCAGGGAAGCCGUUAAGUCUGCCGCCUGGGGAGUACGGUCGCAAGACUGAAACUUAAAGGAAUUGGC
This 460-nucleotide ribosomal RNA is filed under the name uncultured archaeon. RNAcentral describes it as "bacterial SSU rRNA". It matches the Rfam family "Archaeal small subunit ribosomal RNA", at positions 408 to 869 of the family's 1478-position model. The record is from RNAcentral.